CUGGGCAAAUCGCUUCUCUGUGAGUCAGUCCUCUAUGCCUCUGCGAGUGAUUUGGCCAGUGAUCCUCGAUUGUCUUGGUCAAAUCGCCUGCCCAUGUCACUGCUGUCUGUUGCCUCUGGGUAUCUGUUUUAGCUUGAUCUGGGCAGUGAUUGGAGCAGAUUUUUGGGCAAAUCACUGGGCAAAUAAUCCUUUUGCAAAUUUUCUGCACUUUUUCUCCCAUUUUCCAGAUUCUUCCUUUUCUGUAAAAACAAUAUAAAAACUAUAAAUUAAGCUAGAAAAUGUGUAAAUAAGCAAUAAAAGAGAUAAUAAAAAUGUGGCUAAAUUGUGCUUGAUCAUU
RNAcentral lists this long non-coding RNA (337 nucleotides) under Manihot esculenta (cassava). RNAcentral describes it as "long non-coding RNA (MESC_LNC005408)". The record is from RNAcentral. Lineage: Eukaryota; Viridiplantae; Streptophyta; Magnoliopsida; Malpighiales; Euphorbiaceae.